Molecule: ribosomal RNA, 406 nt
Filed under: uncultured bacterium
Lineage: Bacteria
Description: partial 16S ribosomal RNA
Rfam family: Bacterial small subunit ribosomal RNA
Source: RNAcentral
AUUGAACGCUGGCGGCAGGCCUAACACAUGCAAGUCGAACGAGUGGCGGACGGGUGAGUAAUGUAUGGGAAAAUGCCUGAUGGAGGGGGAUAACUACUGGAAAAGGUAGCUAAUGCCGCAUAACAUCAGUUGUGCCCAGAUGGGAGUAGCUUGUUGGUGGGGUAACGGCUCACCAAGGCGGAGAUACCUAGCUGGUCUGAGAGGAUGACCGGCCACACUGGAACUGAGACCCGGGCCAGACUCCUACGGUGGGCAGCAGGGGGGAAUAUUGCACAAUGGGCGCAAGUCUGAUGCAGCAAUGCCGCGUGUAUGAAGAAGGCCUUCGGGUUGUAAAGUACUUUCAGCGGGGAGGCGUUACCCGCAGAAGAAGCACCGGCUAACUCCGUGCCAGCAGCCGCGGUAAUAC